This 72-nucleotide transfer RNA is filed under the name Abditibacteriaceae bacterium. RNAcentral describes it as "Abitibacteriaceae bacterium (rhizosphere metagenome) tRNA-His". It matches the Rfam family "tRNA". Rfam says of the family: Transfer RNA (tRNA) molecules are approximately 80 nucleotides in length. The record is from RNAcentral. Lineage: Bacteria; Pseudomonadati; Abditibacteriota; Abditibacteriia; Abditibacteriales; Abditibacteriaceae.
GCCGGGGUAGCUCAACGGUAGAGCGCCUGAUUGUGGAUCAGGAGGCCAAGGGUUCAACUCCCUUCCUCGGUA